UCCUAUAGAUUCAGACAGGAUCCCUUGGC
This 29-nucleotide non-coding RNA is filed under the name Homo sapiens (human). Lineage: Eukaryota; Metazoa; Chordata; Mammalia; Primates; Hominidae. The record is from RNAcentral.